This 487-nucleotide ribosomal RNA is filed under the name uncultured Bacteroidota bacterium. RNAcentral describes it as "bacterial SSU rRNA". It matches the Rfam family "Bacterial small subunit ribosomal RNA", at positions 30 to 514 of the family's 1533-position model. The record is from RNAcentral. Lineage: Bacteria; Pseudomonadati; Bacteroidota.
UGAACGCUAGCGGCAGGCCUAAUACAUGCAAGUCGAACGGCAGUAGAACCAGCAAUGGGACUAUGAGAGUGGCGAACGGGUGCGUAACGCGUAUGCAACCUACCUCCAACUGGGGAAUAGCCCUGGGAAACCGGGAUUAACACCGCAUAAGAUGGUAGAACCGCAUGGUUCAGCCAUUAAAGUUUACGGUUGGAGAUGGGCAUGCGUGCCAUUAGCUAGUUGGCGGGGUAAUAGCCCACCAAGGCGACGAUGGCUAGGGGGUCUGAGAGGAUGAUCCCCCACACUGGUACUGAGAUACGGACCAGACUCCUACGGGAGGCAGCAGUAGGGAAUAUUGGUCAAUGGACGCAAGUCUGAACCAGCCAUGCCGCGUGCAGGAUGAAGGCGCUCUGCGUUGUAAACUGCUUUUGUACGGGAAGAAUAUAUCGUUUGCGAACGGUUUUGACGGUACCGUAAGAAUAAGGAUCGGCUAACUACGUGCCAGCAG